GCACACUUAUCUUAGUGGUUAAAGAAUCACUCAGGAAGUCUGAGGUCAUGGGCUCAAUUCCCAUAGUGCACA
Puccinia sorghi is the source of this 72-nucleotide transfer RNA. It matches the Rfam family "tRNA". From Rfam's summary of the family: Transfer RNA (tRNA) molecules are approximately 80 nucleotides in length. Their secondary structure includes four short double-helical elements and three loops (D, anti-codon, and T loops). The record is from Rfam. NCBI's taxonomy places the organism in Eukaryota, Fungi, Basidiomycota, Pucciniomycetes, Pucciniales, Pucciniaceae.